This 252-nucleotide ribosomal RNA is filed under the name uncultured bacterium. RNAcentral's name for it is "partial 16S ribosomal RNA". It matches the Rfam family "Bacterial small subunit ribosomal RNA", at positions 524 to 776 of the family's 1533-position model. The record is from RNAcentral.
UACGUAGGGGGCAAGCGUUGUCCGGAUUUAUUGGGCGUAAAGAGCGUGUAGGCGGUUUGGUAGGUCCGUUGUGAAAACUCGAGGCUCAACCUCGAGACGUCGGCGGAAACCAUCUGGCUAGAGUCCGGAAGAGGAGAGUGGAAUUCCUGGUGUAGCGGUGAAAUGCGCAGAUAUCAGGAAGAACACCCGUGGCGAAGGCGGCUCUCUGGGACGGUACUGACGCUGAGACGCGAAAGCGUGGGAGCGAACAGG